Molecule: long non-coding RNA, 670 nt
Filed under: Danio rerio (zebrafish)
Lineage: Eukaryota; Metazoa; Chordata; Actinopteri; Cypriniformes; Danionidae
Description: lncRNA (ENSDARG00000117734.1)
Source: RNAcentral
AUAAAGUUCCACAAAUUAUUUCAUAUAGAUUUAGUCAACGUUAGAAAAAGGUCUCCUGUAAAGUUUUCUUUUGUAUUGUUGUUUCAAGGAUUCAUCAUCGAGUAGCUCUUCAUCAUCAUCUGACAGUGAGGAUGACAAGAAAAAGAAGAAGAAGAAGAAAAAGAAGAAGAAGAAGCAGCUGAAGGAUUCAUCAUCGAGUAGCUCUUCAUCAUCAUCUGACAGUGAGGAUGACAAGAAGAAGAAGAAGAAGAAGAAAAAGAAGAAGAAGAAGCAGCUGAAGGAUUCAUCAUCGAGUAGCUCUUCAUCAUCAUCUGACAGUGAGCAUGACAAGAAAAAGAAGAAGAAGAAGAAGAAGAAGAAAAAGAAGAAGAAGAAGCAGCUGAAGGAUUCAUCUUCAUCAUCCAGCAGCUCCUCUUCCUCUGACAGCAGCAAUGAAGACAAGAAGAAGAAAAAGAAGAGGAAGAAGAAGAAGCAGCUGAAAAAGAAGGACUCAAACUCUUCAUCAUCAUCUGAUAGUGAAAAAGGGAAGAAGGACAAGAAAAAGAAGAAAGACAAGAAGAAGAAAAAAGACAAGAGAGAAAAGGUGAUGUUUUGUUUCUGCGUUCAAGACUUUACAUGUGAAGCUGCUCUUUCUGUUUACAACAGAUGUUUCUGUUUAACAUCUGAUUAA